UGGUGAGGACUCACAAAAGAGGUGCU
RNAcentral lists this non-coding RNA (26 nucleotides) under Homo sapiens (human). Lineage: Eukaryota; Metazoa; Chordata; Mammalia; Primates; Hominidae. The record is from RNAcentral.